RNAcentral lists this ribosomal RNA (329 nucleotides) under uncultured eukaryote. RNAcentral describes it as "partial 18S ribosomal RNA". It matches the Rfam family "Eukaryotic small subunit ribosomal RNA", at positions 1470 to 1796 of the family's 1831-position model. The record is from RNAcentral.
CCCUUAGAUGUCCGGGGCCGCACGCGCGCUACACUGAAGGAAUCAGCGUGGCUUUCUCCCUGACCCGAAAGGGUUGGGAAACCCGUUGAAUCUCCUUCGUGAUAGGGAUUGGGGCUUGAAAUUGUUCCCCAUGAACGAGGAAUUCCCAGUAAGCGCGAGUCAUAAGCUCGCGUUGAUUACGUCCCUGCCCUUUGUACACACCGCCCGUCGCUCCUACCGAUUGAGUGAUCCGGUGAGGCUCUGGGACCUGGACGGAAAGAGCGUUUCGCUUGUUCUGUUUGGGAAACUUGGUCGAACCUUAUCAUUUAGAGGAAGGAGAAGUCGUAACA